AUUGAACGCUGGCGGCAUGCCUUACACAUGCAAGUCGAACGGUAACGGGCCUUCGGGUGCCGACGAGUGGCGAACGGGUGAGUAAUACAUCGGAACGUGCCCGAUCGUGGGGGAUAACGAGGCGAAAGCUUUGCUAAUACCGCAUACGAUCCACGGAUGAAAGCAGGGGACCGCAAGGCCUUGCGCGGACGGAGCGGCCGAUGGCAGAUUAGGUAGUUGGUGGGAUAAAAGCUUACCAAGCCGACGAUCUGUAGCUGGUCUGAGAGGAUGAUCAGCCACACUGGGACUGAGACACGGCCCAGACUCCUACGGGAGGCAGCAGUGGGGAAUUUUGGACAAUGGGCGCAAGCCUGAUCCAGCCAUGCCGCGUGCAGGAUGAAGGCCUUCGGGUUGUAAACUGCUUUUGUACGGAACGAAAAGCCUUCUUUUAAUACAGGAGGGUCAUGACGGUACCGUAAGAAUAAGCACCGGCUAACUACGUG
RNAcentral lists this ribosomal RNA (482 nucleotides) under uncultured bacterium. RNAcentral describes it as "partial 16S ribosomal RNA". It matches the Rfam family "Bacterial small subunit ribosomal RNA", at positions 30 to 507 of the family's 1533-position model. The record is from RNAcentral.